CCUACGGGAGGCAGCAGUGGGGAAUAUUGCACAAUGGGCGAAAGCCUGAUGCAGCGAUGCCGCGUGAGGGAAGAAGGUUUUAGGAUUGUAAACCUCUGUCUUUGGGGACGAUAAUGACGGUACCCAAGGAGGAAGCUCCGGCUAACUACGUGCCAGCAGCCGCGGUAAU
Molecule: ribosomal RNA, 169 nt
Filed under: uncultured bacterium
Lineage: Bacteria
Description: partial 16S ribosomal RNA
Rfam family: Bacterial small subunit ribosomal RNA
Source: RNAcentral